UACAGAGGGUGCGAGCGUUAAUCGGAAUUACUGGGCGUAAAGCGUGCGUAGACGGUUAUUUAAGUCGGGUGUGAAAGCCCCGGGCUCAACCUGGGAAUUGCACUCGAGACUGAAUAGCUAGGGUACGGUAGAGGGAAGCGGAAUUUCCGGUGUAGCGGUGAAAUGCGCAGAUAUCAGGAGGAACACCAAUGGCGAAGGCAGCACUCUGGGACGUGACUGACGCUGAGACGCGAAAGCGUGGGGAGCAAACAGG
Molecule: ribosomal RNA, 253 nt
Filed under: uncultured bacterium
Lineage: Bacteria
Description: partial 16S ribosomal RNA
Rfam family: Bacterial small subunit ribosomal RNA
Source: RNAcentral